CAAAGAUCGUGGCCCCGCACACGGCUCAGUAAUACGUAGUCAACCUACCCUUGGGACGGGGACAACCUCGGGAAACUGAGGCUAAUCCCCGAUAGGCGAGGGACGCUGGGAUGCCCUCUCGCCCAAAGCUCCGGCGCCCGAGGAUGGGACUGCGACCUAUCAGGCUGUUGGUGGUGUGACGGACCACCAAACCUACGACGGGUACGGGCGAUGGGAGUCGGAGCCCGGAGAUGGGGACUGAGACAAGGCCCCAGGCCCUACGGGGCGCAGCAGGCGCGAAAACUCUGCAAUGCGCGCAAGCGUGACGGGGGGACCCCAAGUGCCGUUGGUCUUUUGAUCGACGACUUUUAGGAAGUUUAAGAAGCUUUCAGAAUAAGGGCUGGGUAAGACUGGUGCCAGCCGCCGCGGUAACACCAGCAGCCCAAGUAGUGGCCGCGAUUAUUGGGCCUAAAGCGCUCGUAGCCGGGCCAGCAAGUCCUUUGUGAAAUCGGGCCGCCUAACGGUUCGGCGUGCAAAGGAUACUGUUGGCCUUGAGGCCGGGAGAGGUCUGAGGUACUCCUGGGGUAGCGGUGAAAUGCUCUAAUCCUGGGGGGACCACCAGUGGCGAAGGCGUCCGACCAGAACGGA
This 627-nucleotide ribosomal RNA is filed under the name uncultured archaeon. Its description in RNAcentral is "bacterial SSU rRNA". It matches the Rfam family "Archaeal small subunit ribosomal RNA", at positions 66 to 689 of the family's 1478-position model. The record is from RNAcentral.